GAUGAACGCUGGCGGCGUGCCUAAUACAUGCAAGUCGAGCGAACAGACGAGGCGCUUGCUCCUCUGACGUUAGCGGCGGACGGGUGAGUAACACGUGGAUAACCUCCCUAUAAGACUGGGAUCACUUCGGGAAACCGGAGCUAAUACCGGAUAAUAUAUUGAACCGCAUGGUUCAAUAGUGAAAGACGGUUUUGCUGUCACUUAUAGAUGGAUCCGCGCCGCAUUAGCUAGUUGGUCAGGUAACGGCUUACCAAGGCAACGAUGCGUAGCCGACCUGAGAGGGUGAUCGGCCACACUGGAACUGAGACACGGUCCAGACUCCUACGGGAGGCAGCAGUAGGGAAUCUUCCGCAAUGGGCGAAAGCCUGACGGAGCAACGCCGCGUGAGUGAUGAAGGUCUUCGGAUCGUAAAACUCUGUUAUUAGGGAAGAACAAAUGUGUAAGUAACUAUGCACGUCUUGACGGUACCUAAUCAGAAAGCCACGGCUAACUACGUG
This 497-nucleotide ribosomal RNA is filed under the name uncultured bacterium. RNAcentral's name for it is "partial 16S ribosomal RNA". It matches the Rfam family "Bacterial small subunit ribosomal RNA", at positions 28 to 507 of the family's 1533-position model. The record is from RNAcentral.